RNAcentral lists this ribosomal RNA (158 nucleotides) under uncultured actinomycete. RNAcentral describes it as "partial 16S ribosomal RNA". It matches the Rfam family "Bacterial small subunit ribosomal RNA", at positions 229 to 386 of the family's 1533-position model. Lineage: Bacteria; Bacillati; Actinomycetota; Actinomycetes; Actinomycetales. The record is from RNAcentral.
GCCCGCGGCCUAUCAGCUUGUUGGUGGGGUAGUGGCCUACCAAGGCGACGACGGGUAGCCGGCCUGAGAGGGUGACCGGCCACACUGGGACUGAGACACGGCCCAGACUCCUACGGGAGGCAGCAGUGGGGAAUAUUGCGCAAUGGGCGGAAGCCUGA